GCGCCCAUCGUCUAGCGGUUAGGACGUUGCCCUUUCACGGCAGAAACAGGAGUUCAAUUCUCCUUGGGCGUACCA
This 75-nucleotide transfer RNA is filed under the name Candidatus Tokpelaia sp. JSC161. Its description in RNAcentral is "tRNA-Glu". It matches the Rfam family "tRNA". From Rfam's summary of the family: Transfer RNA (tRNA) molecules are approximately 80 nucleotides in length. Their secondary structure includes four short double-helical elements and three loops (D, anti-codon, and T loops). The record is from RNAcentral. Lineage: Bacteria; Pseudomonadati; Pseudomonadota; Alphaproteobacteria; Hyphomicrobiales.